UAAGCGGAGGAAAAGAAACUAACAAGGAUUCCCCUAGUAACGGCGAGUGAACAGGGAAGAGCUCAAAUUUGUAAUCUGGCGUCCUUUGGGCGUCCGAGUUGUAAUCUAUAGAAGCGUUUUCCGUGCUGGACCAUGUCCAAGUCCCUUGGAACAGGGUAUCAAAGAGGGUGACAAUCCCGUACUUGACAUGACGACCAGUGCUCUGUGAUACGCUCUCUACGAGUCGAGUUGUUUGGGAAUGCAGCUCAAAACGGGUGGUGAGUUCCAUCUAAAGCUAAAUAUUGGCGAGAGACCGAUAGCGAACAAGUACCGUGAGGGAAAGAUGAAAAGCACUUUGGAAAGAGAGUUAAACAGUACGUGAAAUUGUUGAAAGGGAAACGAUUGAAGUCAGUCGUGUCCGAGGGGUUCAGCCGGUUCUGCCGGUGUAUUCCCCUCGGACGGGUCAACAUCAGUUUGGAUCGGCGGAAAAGGGCAGUUGGAAGGUAGCAGCUCCGGUUGUGUUAUAGCCUUCUGUCGCAUACGCUGGUCUGGACUGAGGAAUGCAGCUCGCCUUCAUGGCUGGGGUUCUCCCACAUACGAGCUUAGGAUGUUGACAUAAUGGCUUUAAACGACCCGUCUUGAAACAC
This 626-nucleotide ribosomal RNA is filed under the name Kockovaella fuzhouensis. RNAcentral describes it as "eukaryotic LSU rRNA". It matches the Rfam family "Eukaryotic large subunit ribosomal RNA", at positions 47 to 662 of the family's 3401-position model. Lineage: Eukaryota; Fungi; Basidiomycota; Tremellomycetes; Tremellales; Cuniculitremaceae. The record is from RNAcentral.